Molecule: long non-coding RNA, 226 nt
Filed under: Lathyrus oleraceus (garden pea)
Lineage: Eukaryota; Viridiplantae; Streptophyta; Magnoliopsida; Fabales; Fabaceae
Description: Pisum sativum (pea) long non-coding RNA (PSAT_LNC014105)
Source: RNAcentral
UCUGAGCAACUAGGACUGACUCCAUCAUGGUAGUCAGACGGGCAAUCUCGUCCUUCAAGUCUCUAUUCUCUUGCUCUAGAUAUUCCAUGAUUCUUGAGUGAUUGGUGCGAGUAUUGUAUCGAUGAGUCAUCUUGGCUGAAGCACAUUAGAAAUACCAAUAAGACAUCUGGCGAAAGAGAGACCUGCUAUGCAAAUGAUGCAUGAAAUGCAAUGAUUGAUUAUUUUU